AUUGAACGCCGGCGGCAGGCUUAACACAUGCAAGUCGAGCGGUAACAGGAGAAGCUUGCUUCUCGCUGACGAGCGGCGGACGGGUGAGUAAUACUUAGGAAUCUGCCCAGUAGUGGGGGAUAGCUCGGGGAAACUCGAAUUAAUACCGCAUACACCCUACGGGGAAAAGGGGGCACUUGUGCUCUCGCUAUUGGAUGAGCCUAAGUCGGAUUAGCUAGUUGGUGGGGUAAAGGCCUACCAAGGCGACGAUCUGUAGCUGGUCUGAGAGGAUGAUCAGCCACACCGGGACUGAGACACGGCCCGGACUCCUACGGGAGGCAGCAGUGGGGAAUAUUGGACAAUGGGGGCAACCCUGAUCCAGCCAUGCCGCGUGUGUGAAGAAGGCCUUUUGGUUGUAAAGCACUUUAAGCAGUGAAGAAGACUCUAUGGUUAAUACCCAUAGACGAUGACAUUAGCUGCAGAAUAAGCACCGGCUAACUCUGUGCCAGCAGCCGCGGUAAUACAGAGGGUGCAAGCGUUAAUCGGAAUUACUGGGCGUAAAGCGAGCGUAGGUGGCUUGAUAAGUCAGAUGUGAAAUCCCCGGGCUUAACCUGGGAACUGCAUUUGAUACUGUUAGGCUAGAGUAGGUGAGAGGGAGGUAGAAUUUCAGGUGUAGCGGUGAAAUGCGUAGAGAUCUGAAGGAAUACCGAUGGCGAAGGCAGCCUCCUGGCAUCAUACUGACACUGAGGUUCGAAAGCGUGGGUAGCAAACAGGAUUAGAUACCCUGGUAGUCCACGCCGUAAACGAUGUCUACUAGUCGUUGGGGAACUUGAUUCCUUAGUGACGCAGCUAACGCAAUAAGUAGACCGCCUGGGGAGUACGGCCGCAAGGUUAAAACUCAAAUGAAUUGACGGGGGCCCGCACAAGCGGUGGAGCAUGUGGUUUAAUUCGAUGCAACGCGAAGAACCUUACCUGGUCUUGACAUAUCUAGAAUCCUGCAGAGAUGCGGGAGUGCCUUCGGGAAUUAGAAUACGGGUGCUGCAUGGCUGUCGUCAGCUCGUGUCGUGAGAUGUUGGGUUAAGUCCCGCAACGAGCGCAACCCUUUUCCUUAGUUACCAGCGGUUUGGCCGGGGACUCUAAGGAUACUGCCAGUGACAAACUGGAGGAAGGCGGGGACGACGUCAAGUCAUCAUGGCCCUUACGACCAGGGCUACACACGUGCUACAAUGGUAGGUACAGAGGGCAGCUACACAGCGACGUGAUGCGAAUCUCAAAAAGCCUAUCGUAGUCCAGAUUGGAGUCUGCAACUCGACUCCAUGAAGUCGGAAUCGCUAGUAAUCGCGGAUCAGAAUGCCGCGGUGAAUACGUUCCCGGGCCU
Molecule: ribosomal RNA, 1357 nt
Filed under: uncultured bacterium
Lineage: Bacteria
Description: bacterial SSU rRNA
Rfam family: Bacterial small subunit ribosomal RNA
Source: RNAcentral